RNAcentral lists this long non-coding RNA (583 nucleotides) under Elaeis guineensis (African oil palm). RNAcentral's name for it is "long non-coding RNA (EGUI_LNC059877)". The record is from RNAcentral. Lineage: Eukaryota; Viridiplantae; Streptophyta; Magnoliopsida; Arecales; Arecaceae.
AUUAGUUCUCGACUUCUGCCUCGUCGACACUCCGCAGCCUGAGCAGAUGACUGUCAAUAGGUUAGACUGAUGCCUAGUCUGACCAGAUAAUAGUCUUCGAUUGAUCACACCAAACUCACCAACUUUAUGUAUUAAAUAAACCCCAGCUUUGGACUUUCCCAUCUGAUGAUGGCACAGAGUGUCCGACUUCUGAUCGUGACCGACUAGUCCUCAGCUCACUGACACCAGUUAGCACACCAGUUUAAAAUUUAAUGCCUUCUAGAUGACAAUUGUCACAAGAUGGAUAAGGCAACCACAACCACUAUAUUUCGAGAGUUUGGAACGACAGUUCUUUCACUAUGUGCAAAUUACGUCCUAGCUAGAUGGAUUCAUGCCAACCGGCUUACCAACCAAAGCAACCGCCUUCGUCCAUAAAAGGAGGUCUAAAGGGGAUCCUAAAAAAGGUACAUCAUUACUCUAUCUCUUAUACUCCUCUUUCUGUUGAACAAGAGUUUUGACUUGAGCGUCGGAGGAUCCCCAUCGAAGCAAUCCCGAUCAAGAUGUUUUUGCAGGUCACACCCUCGGAAGACCCCAUCUUGCUGUC